RNAcentral lists this ribosomal RNA (442 nucleotides) under uncultured bacterium. RNAcentral describes it as "partial 16S ribosomal RNA". It matches the Rfam family "Bacterial small subunit ribosomal RNA", at positions 338 to 795 of the family's 1533-position model. The record is from RNAcentral.
UCUACGGGAUGCAGCAGUGGGGAAUAUUGGGCAAUGGGCGCAAGCCUGACCCAGCAACGCCGCGUGAAGGAAGAAGGCUUUCGGGUUGUAAACUUCUUUUGUCAGGGAAGAGUAGAAGACGGUACCUGACGAAUAAGCCACGGCUAACUACGUGCCAGCAGCCGCGGUAAUACGUAGGUGGCAAGCGUUGUCCGGAUUUACUGGGUGUAAAGGGCGUGUAGCCGGGUUGACAAGUCAGAUGUGAAAUCCUGCGGCUUAACCGCAGAACUGCAUUUGAAACUGGUGAUCUUGAGUACUGGAGAGGCAGAUGGAAUGCCUGGUGUAGCGGUGAAAGGCGUAGAUAUCAGGAGGAACACCAGUGGCGAAGGCAGUCUGCUGGACAGCAACUGACGGUGAGGCGCGAAAGCGUGGGGAGCAAACAGGAUUAGAUACCCGAGUAGUC